Chelonoidis abingdonii (Abingdon island giant tortoise) is the source of this 261-nucleotide non-coding RNA. NCBI's taxonomy places the organism in Eukaryota, Metazoa, Chordata, Testudines, Testudinidae. The record is from RefSeq and is a predicted model, not a curated record.
AGUGCAGGCAAUGUGAUUUCUAUUAGCGGUUGUCGUAACUAUAAAGGGAAAGGUAACAACGCUCCUGUAUACAAUACUAUAAAAUCCUUCCUGGCCAGAGGCACCAAAAUCCUUUUACCUGUAAAGCAUUAAGAAGCUCAGGUAACCUGGCUGACAUCUGACAGAAAGGACCUAUAAGGGGACAAGAUAAUUUCAAAUCUUUGAGGGGUGGGAGAAAAGAGGCUUUUGUUUGUGCUCUUUUUUGGUGGUGGUGGUGGUUGC